RNAcentral lists this ribosomal RNA (656 nucleotides) under Shewanella sp. NA042. RNAcentral's name for it is "bacterial SSU rRNA". It matches the Rfam family "Bacterial small subunit ribosomal RNA", at positions 209 to 854 of the family's 1533-position model. Lineage: Bacteria; Pseudomonadati; Pseudomonadota; Gammaproteobacteria; Alteromonadales; Shewanellaceae. The record is from RNAcentral.
CUUCGGCCUUCUGCGAUUGGAUGUACCUAGGUGGGAUUAGCUAGUUGGUGAGGUAAUGGCUCACCAAGGCGACGAUCCCUAGCUGUUCUGAGAGGAUGAUCAGCCACACUGGGACUGAGACACGGCCCAGACUCUACGGGAGGCAGCAGUGGGGAAUAUUGCACAAUGGGCGCAAGCCUGAUGCAGCCAUGCCGCGUGUGUGAAGAAGGCUUCGGGUUGUAAAGCACUUUCAGCGAGGAGGAAAGCUUAAGCGUUAAUAGCGUUUAGGUGUGACGUUACUCGCAGAAGAAGGACCGGCUAACUUCGUGCCAGCAGCCGCGGUAAUACGAGGGGUCCAAGCGUUAAUCGGAAUUACUGGGCGUAKAGCGUACGCAGGCGGUUUGUUAAGCGAGAUGUGAAAGCCCCGGGCUCAACCUGGGAACUGCAUUUCGAACUGGCAAACUAGAGUCUUGUAGAGNNGGGUAGAAUUUCAGGUGUAGCGGUGAAAUGCGUAGAGAUCUGAAGGAAUACCGGUGGCNNYGGCGGCCCCCUGGACAAAGACUGACGCUCAUGUACGAAAGCGUGGGGAGCAAACAGGAUUAGAUASCCUGGUAGUCCACGCSGUAAACGAUGUCUACUCGGAAUUUCGGUGUCUUGAACACUGGGUUSUCAAGUAA